UCCGGCAUGGUGUAAUAGUUAGCAUUUCCGUCUCCCAUUACUCAUAUUCAUACCUUAUACAUGGUGAAUGUUGACCUUUAGAAAGGUUUCGGAAGGUCGGGGUUCAAUUCCUCGUGCCGGAC
This is a non-coding RNA of Sclerotinia nivalis, 122 nucleotides long. Lineage: Eukaryota; Fungi; Ascomycota; Leotiomycetes; Helotiales; Sclerotiniaceae. The record is from the annotation of a GenBank genome assembly.